CCUACGGGAGGCAGCAGUGGGGGAUAUUGCACAAUGGGGGAAACCCUGAUGCAGCGACGCCGCGUGUGGGAAGACGGUCCUCUGGAUUGUAAACCACUGUCCCCAGGGACGAAGAUGACGGUACCUGGGGAGGAAGCUCCGGCUAACUACGUGCCAGCAGCCGCGGGAAUACGUAGGGAGCGAGCGUUGUCCGGAAUUACUGGGUGUAAAGGGAGCGUAGGCGGGACUGCAAGUUGGGUGUCAAAUCUACCGGCUCAACCGGUAGCCGCACUCGAAACUGCAGUUCUUGAGUGAAGUAGAGGCAGGCGGAAUGCGUAGUGUAGCGGUGAAAUGCGUAGAUAUUAGGAAGAACACCAGUGGCGAAGGCGGCCUGCUGGGCUUUUACUGACGCUGAGGCUCGAAAGUGUGGGGAGCAAACAGGAUUAGAUACCCUUGUAGUC
Molecule: ribosomal RNA, 440 nt
Filed under: uncultured bacterium
Lineage: Bacteria
Description: partial 16S ribosomal RNA
Rfam family: Bacterial small subunit ribosomal RNA
Source: RNAcentral